Molecule: long non-coding RNA, 1631 nt
Organism: Triticum aestivum (bread wheat)
Lineage: Eukaryota; Viridiplantae; Streptophyta; Magnoliopsida; Poales; Poaceae
Exons: 6
Source: RefSeq, a predicted model, not a curated record
CGGCUGCGCGAGAGGAUGAUCUGAUUGUGCCUCCAUGACGGCAUCGUGAUGCCCACCGCCGACGGCGCUGCGUCGCGACCAAAGGGGCACCCGGCCACGGCCGGGGACUCACUGCAGUUGAAGCACGCCAUCUCGCCACCAUGUAUGUUGUGUGUUCUUGUGCUGCAGGUCCUUGGGGUUGGGUGUUCUUGUCGCCACCAUGUUCAUGCAGACACGAAUUGGACUGAGAAAUGCUAACAGAGGAGGAGAAGACCAUGCAAGUCCUUGGGGUUGGGUGCGGCAACUCGCGGCUCGAAGACAAUCUUUUGUGGUGGGGCGUCGCUGCCGGCGGCGGCACCUGCACAGACCGUCUCGCUGGGAACGAAGAGAUGCUCCCCUGAUUUGGAGCUGUAGAAAGGAGGUGGUUGCAGACGCAAAGUGGGGACACACAACUCCCAGUCAUAAUAUUCUUUAUCUUGGCUCGUUGUUUGGGGAUGGACGCAUCAAUCUGAUCGCGCUCUCCUCCAUGCCAAACGGAUCCUUGGUUCGGAGGUGCGCGGCGCCGACGAUGACAACCUUUCUAUCGACGCAAGGGCAGCAGGAGCUCAUGACGCUGUUGAUGCCACCACCAUGCACAGGGUUGAUGCAAGGUGGGACAAUGCGAUCACUAAUGGGGAGAACAUAAAACUUCAAUUGAGGGCAUUGUGAUUCUCUAGCUACAUGUAUCAUAGCUUCUGCAGGAGGGCGUCACCUGCGGCAUCACUUGCAUCGACCUCUCACCGAUCACCGUCCCGAGGAUGCACGACAGACUGGCGGAGCAGGGCACCAGUGAUUGUUUCACCAAUUUGCUCGACUCAUUGUUCCCUUCCUCUGUCCACGCAACAUUGCCCAUUGUUGCUAAGUUGUUAAUUCAUCAGGCCCAUUAUUGCGGCUACAUAGUCUGUUCAUCUUGCCUGCCUUCUUAGGAGAAACCAAUUUACUGAAGGUUGGCAAUUCCGAAGUUAUUGCCUUUCUACUUUAAACUGAAAUAAUUCCUCUUUGUCUUUAAUAUGGAGAUGGGCACUGAACUUUAAAAAACAGUAUGAACUCAACCCCUUCUGUAAAUCAAAUAUUUCAUUUGCGGGGACGACGUGGGGCUCAUGUCGAGCACUUCACCUGCAAUGGGUGUGGCCUUCUCCGUCUGCCAAACAUGCUACAAGUACGAGCACCAUGAGGGAACUGCCUGGAGUGCAAGACCCGCCACAAGCUCCUCAAGGGUCAGUCAGGCUCCACCCACGGCCGAAGGCACUUGCAGAUGUGAAGAAUAUCCAUGUCCGAUUACAUCGCCAGAAAGCAAAAACCAUGAGAGCCCACACUAAUCAUCAAGGGAUUUUUGAAACGAGCAGAAGAUUAGUAACUUCUACGACAUCAAAGAUCUGACCUUUUAGAGUAUGCAUCAUAUUGAUUUACUUAUUGAUUUAUUCACACUAUAUCAGAUUUGUCUUGAACGUGAUACUUUAUUGACUGUACUGGACACGGGAAGUUAACUGUUUUAAUUAUAUAGGAUUAGUCUGCACCAAUUGCUGCAUAAGUUCUCCUUGAUACCAAUUUACAUACUUGUGCUACUAGGCCUUUGGUCAGUUUGCAACUGGUAUUUUAGACAUGUACGAGUA